This 443-nucleotide ribosomal RNA is filed under the name uncultured bacterium. RNAcentral's name for it is "partial 16S ribosomal RNA". It matches the Rfam family "Bacterial small subunit ribosomal RNA", at positions 338 to 795 of the family's 1533-position model. The record is from RNAcentral.
CCUACGGUGCGCUGCAGUGGGGAAUAUUGGGCAAUGGGCGCAAGCCUGACCCAGCAACGCCGCGUGAAGGAAGAAGGCUUUCGGGUUGUAAACUUCUUUUCUCAGGGACGAAGCAAGUGACGGUACCUGAGGAAUAAGCCACGGCUAACUACGUGCCAGCCGCCGGGGUAAUACGUAGGUGGAAAGGGUUAUCCGGAUUUACUGGGUGUAAAGGGCGUGUAGGCGGGAAAGCAAGUCAGAUGUGAACACCAUGGGCUCAACCUGUGGCCUGCAUUUGAUACUGUUUUUCUUGAGUACGGGAGAGGCAGACGGAAUUCCGAGUGUAGCGGUGAAAUGCGUAGAUAUUAGGAGGAACACCAGUGGCGAAGGCGGUCUGCUGGACAGCAACUGACGCUGAGGGGCGAAAGCGUGGGGAGCAAACAGGAUUAGAUACCCGAGUAGUC